This 71-nucleotide transfer RNA is filed under the name Marmota monax (woodchuck). Its description in RNAcentral is "tRNA.Ala". Lineage: Eukaryota; Metazoa; Chordata; Mammalia; Rodentia; Sciuridae. The record is from RNAcentral.
GGGGUUGUGGCUCAGAGGUAGACUGCUUGCCUAGCACGCAUGAGGCACUGGGUUCGAUCCUCAGCACCACA